UGAGGAAUUUUGGACAAUGGGGGCAACCCUGAUCCAGCAAUGCCGCGUGUGUGAAGAAGGCCUUCGGGUUGUAAAGCACUUUUGUCCGGAAAGAAAACACGUGCCCUAAUACGGUGUGUGGAUGACGGUACCGGAAGAAUAAGCACCGGCUAACUACGUG
This 160-nucleotide ribosomal RNA is filed under the name uncultured bacterium. RNAcentral's name for it is "partial 16S ribosomal RNA". It matches the Rfam family "Bacterial small subunit ribosomal RNA", at positions 355 to 507 of the family's 1533-position model. The record is from RNAcentral.